This 253-nucleotide ribosomal RNA is filed under the name uncultured bacterium. Its description in RNAcentral is "partial 16S ribosomal RNA". It matches the Rfam family "Bacterial small subunit ribosomal RNA", at positions 524 to 776 of the family's 1533-position model. The record is from RNAcentral.
UACGGGGGGGGCAAGCGUUGUUCGGAAUUACUGGGCGUAAAGGGCUCGUAGGUGGCCAACUCAGUCGGACGUGAAAUCCCUCGGCUUAACCGGGGAACUGCGUCUGAUACUGGGAGGCUUGAAUGCGGGAGAGGGAUGUAGAAUUCCAGGUGUAGCGGUGAAAUGCGUAGAUAUCUGGAGGAAUACCGGUGGCGAAGGCGGCAUCCUGGACCGACAUUGACGCUGAGGCGCGAAAGCUAGGGUAGCAAACGGG